CCUACGGGAGGCAGCAGUAGGGAAUCUUCCACAAUGGGCGCAAGCCUGAUGGAGCAACACCGCGUGAGUGAAGAAGGGUUUCGGCUUGUAAAACUCUGUUGUUGGAGAAGAACGUGCGUGAGAGUAUCUGUUCACGCAGUGACGGUAUCCAACCAGAAAGGCACGGCUAACUACGUGCCAGCAGCCGCGGUAAUACGUAGGUGGCAAGCGUUAUCCGGAUUUAUUGGGCGUAAAGCGAGCGCAGGCGGUUGCUUAGGUCUGAUGUGAAAGCCUUGGGCUUAACCUAAGAAGUGCAUCGGAAACCGGGCGGCUUGAGUGCAGAAGAGGAUAGUGGAACUCCAGGUGUAGCGGUGGAAUGCGUAGAUAUAUGGAGGAACACCAGUGGCGAAGGCGGCUGUCUGGUCUGCAACUGACGCUGAGGCUCGAAAGCAUGGGGAGCGAACAGGAUUAGAUACCCUAGUAGUC
RNAcentral lists this ribosomal RNA (465 nucleotides) under uncultured bacterium. RNAcentral's name for it is "partial 16S ribosomal RNA". It matches the Rfam family "Bacterial small subunit ribosomal RNA", at positions 338 to 795 of the family's 1533-position model. The record is from RNAcentral.